Long non-coding RNA from Mauremys reevesii (Reeves's turtle), 2465 nucleotides. RefSeq lists it as uncharacterized. Lineage: Eukaryota; Metazoa; Chordata; Testudines; Geoemydidae. The transcript has 3 exons. The record is from RefSeq and is a predicted model, not a curated record.
CACACAUAGUCACAUGCAGUAUAGCUUAUAGCUCGAUGUCUUCCAACGCGGGGACUGUGUGCUUUAUCUUGCAGCCUUUCUGUUAAUUAAAAUUAGCCUUUCCUAUGUUCCUCUGCUUUUUCUCACUCAUCUAUAUAUGUAGUGCACACUCCCACUCUGUGCUUUUAAUGGCUAGCCUUAGGAAGUAGGCUGAUUUUAAUCCUUUUUUUUUCCUGUGGAAGACACAACGUUCUACUUUAACAUUUAAUGCUUCCUUGCCCUUUUAUUCUUUUUAUUUUGUUUUUGCCUUUUGUUAGUAAUUAUUUUUUUUUCUUCCUCAUGUAUUAACUGAAUGAUGGUUGUCUAACUCUGAGCUUUUCCUCUGCUUCAGUGACUCCACUUCAGUGAUGAAUACUCUCUCAAGCUGGGGUUGGUACACAAAAAAACAUUCUACACAACUUUUUUUUUUUGGUGACCUCGGUAUUUUCUGUGCAAUCGAUAAAGGCACUGUCUGUAUUUGUUUUAGAUUUGCAUAGUGCUAGUCUUGCAUCAGACCUAGUAAUAUGAUUUUCUUAUGGAUUUAAUAUUUUUAUAUUGACCCCGCUAUCAAGAUGAGACAUCACUGAGUGAAGGAGCACACUUCUUGUAAGACAUUCUGUUAAGGAGUUCACAUGUUUGUCUGCACUUUCCCAAGCUGAACCAAAUACGUUCCUGUUCCUCUAAUUCAGCCCAACAGAGGAUUGGCAUUAGAAAUAGCACUAUCCCAGGGAUCUCUUGCUAUUAUUUUAUGCCUUCUGAUUAUGGUGCUAUUCUUCAACUGUUUCCAGAGAGGAACUAAAGAAAGAGAGUGAACUUAAAAAAGACCAUCCCACCCAUGGUAGACAACAAAACUUCCAUCAACAAAUCUACAUAUGCAGUCACAUACAAUGCUCACUAUUACUAACUAACCAGUUUACCCCUCUAUUUAGAACAGGCGGUCUUUGUAGAAAUUGCUUUGCAAUGUUCAGCAAAUGUCAACUUUUCGAUGACUUGGGCUAUAUUUAUUCCAAACAGGCGAUAACUUCAGUAUCUUAGAUACCACUGUGUGGUGAAGUGGUAACAAUUAAAUGGCAACCUUGUGCACUGACUUCUCUAGGAUUUCUGUGUAGGCUUUUCCAGAUCUUCCAAUCUCUAUAACUGCAAGAUUUAUAAGACAAUUUUACAGUGGGAAUAAGAUGAUGCACACCUCAGCUUGAGAACAGAGAGUUCUUCAAGCUCUCUGCAAAUGGCAGAAGAUUCGGAACCUACCAUGAGGCAUCUUAGCUGUAGUUGCUAGUUACUGAACUGGAGAUUGUAUAUAAAGUAAAUAGCCGUCCAGCCAGGCUUUAGAAACAGAUGCACUUCCCCUCCAUUGAGCACUGAAAUACACAUAUCCAAGGUGCCAUCACUCAAUCAAGUGAGGGAAAGUGAGUAAAUUUUGUCAGUCAGCUGAUUGCUUGGGUGCAGGUGCCCAUUGCAACCUGGCUUAGGAACAGAGGGGGCCGGACACUCUAAAACUAUGCAAAGACCAACUGCAGAGGUGUCUGCAGUGUGUGGACCAAAACAGAAUUAGGUAGGCACAGGCUGGCAAUGUCACAGCAUUCAGUUGUGAACAGGAGUGGACCGUGUGACUUUGGCAAUGCAAAAAUCAGCACUGCUUGGACAGCACUGGAGAAUAACAAAUUCUAAUUAUUUCCUUGCUCUCAAACCAAACCCUCUUCCCGCUGCCUGCCCACUGAGUGCCAGGCCAGCCCCUCUGCAGAGCCACAAAAGGCCAGUCAAUGAGUUCCUACAAACAGGCCUGGAGACUCCUAGCCAGAGAAGGUGGGACAAAAUGAGCAUCAAAGGGCUGUCUUUUGGCUUUGCCACAAGCCCUGUGAAUGGGCAGCAUGUAACCAUGUUGCCUCAGGAGAAGACUGGAAAUGAGGGUUGUAACUUGGAGACUCUUGCUGAACCUUCUGUGUUCUCCCUGCUCUGGGAGACGUACCCAGCACCAGCCCUGUACCUUGUGCAGCAUAUGUCUCAUGGUGUGCCAGUGCAGCUGUGCUGACUGGCGUGCUGUGGUGUGUGAAGCCAUAGCAUCACCCCUUCCUUCGAGCUGACUCUCCACCUAUAUGCCUUUAUCCUUAUGUUCAUUUUGGAUAAAAUGUGGUUUGCAGGGUGCUUAUGCAUAGGGAAGCAUGCUGUGGCUCACCAGCCUAGGAACAUUCUGGAGAAGGCCAGGGGGAGGGGGUUGAGCUCAGCAUGUGGACUAGAGAACUAUGAGCAUGUGAUAAACAAACCCAUAUAUGGGUUUGUUUAACUCUGAUUGGUUAGAGGUUCCUGUUAUGUAACUUGUUAUAUAAGUGCCAUGUGCUAUAAAAUAGCAACGGGAGGGCUUCCUUGCUGGAAGGACUCUGCCUGAUUUUUUUUUUUGUACCAUGGGUUUUCCUUGUGCACAUAUUUGAAUAAAGCUUUGUUGAAUUGAA